ACAUACUAGAUCUAAAAAGUGUAUUUCUUUUGUAUUUUUAUAGAGAUUAAUUUUCUUUUUAUUAUUUUAAAGGACUGAAAUUUUUGAAAACAACCAAGAAGGAAAGCAACUGCUACUGGAAGAGAAGAGCAAAAGGAGCUCAGAGAUAGACAUAGUUUGAGAAUAUUUAGGAGCAGAAGAACAAUAACAUCACUGAAUAUAUGGAGUUAUAAACUUUUGUGCAGGCAAAGACAGCACCUGGUCCUACUGUUCUCCAAUGAUGAUGCAUUUGCAGUGAGUACUACAAAUCUUUGCCCAAUCAAAUCAUCCUUUGUUUUUACAGUGACUAUAUUUUAAAAUGUAGGAUUAAAUGACUUUGGAGAUUAGAAUAUUUAUAUAUUUCAUGUUUAACUUUUAUGUUCUUCUCAAAGUUAGGAGAAGAGGAAGCAAAUAAGACAGUUCAAAGGUU
This 448-nucleotide long non-coding RNA is filed under the name Bos indicus x Bos taurus (hybrid cattle). RNAcentral's name for it is "lncRNA (ENSBIXG00000005950.1)". The record is from RNAcentral. Lineage: Eukaryota; Metazoa; Chordata; Mammalia; Artiodactyla; Bovidae.